This 719-nucleotide long non-coding RNA is filed under the name Helianthus annuus (common sunflower). The record is from RNAcentral. Lineage: Eukaryota; Viridiplantae; Streptophyta; Magnoliopsida; Asterales; Asteraceae.
UUCUCCACCCCACAAACAAUCUUCUCCACCGUUGUCUCCCACGUCACUAACACACAAAACCCUAAUUUCUCUUUUCACCAUACGCAUCGUCGAUCCAGCAGUUCAUACACGUCUACAGCAAUGCUUCACAAAUGAUUCAAGUCCGCCAAAUGGUGAGCACUUGAUGGGAAAAGAGACAAUAUAAGAUUUUGGACAAAAUUGCUACUCACGUGUUCCUGAGCUGCUUAUAAGCGUAUGUGCAUACCAUAACGCAAGACGGAUGUUGUACAUAAACACAACCGAAACACUCGAAGAACGACACAAAUUCAAAAUCUAAAGAGGGAAAAUGUGGAUCGAAGAACGACAAAAAAUCAAGUUUUUAGGUGAUGGUGGAUCUUAAUACAAGGAGGUUAAAUUUACAAGUUGUAAAUAUUAAAGUUGACAGUAUAGGAGCACUGAAAGUUUAAUAUACCAUUAUUUUUGUCGAUGUUUGGAAUGUGAAUAACCAGGAGCCAAAUUUGAUAAAAAUGACGGGAAGCCUAAAGUUGGGGAUGCGGCAACUGAGCAACAAACGAGCUAAGACUCUCAAUUCAUAUAUAUGUUAGAGUCGAAGCGUGUUCAUUAAAAAAAGUUACAACGGGUCAUUUCCUAAUGCAAAAAUGGAAAACUAUUGCUCGACAUGUUUAAGAUCAAAACAUGUCAACGUUUUUUAUAUUUAUCUGGAUUAUAUUUGUAGUUCC